Molecule: ribosomal RNA, 734 nt
Filed under: uncultured bacterium
Lineage: Bacteria
Description: bacterial SSU rRNA
Rfam family: Bacterial small subunit ribosomal RNA
Source: RNAcentral
AACAGGAUUAGAUACCCUGGUAGUCCACGCCCUAAACGAUGAAUACUCGGUGUUGGGUUUUAUUACUCAGCGCCUAAGCUAACGCAUUAAGUAUUCCACCUGGGAAGUACGAUCGCAAGGUUGAAACUCAAAGGAAUUGACGGGGGCCCGCACAAGCAGUGGAGCAUGUGGUUUAAUUCGAUGCAACGCGAAGAACCUUACCUGGGCUUGAAAGGCUAGAUUAUAGACGAUGAAAGUCGUUUACCCGCAAGGGGUCUAGUACAGGUGCUGCAUGGCUGUCGUCAGCUCGUGCCGUGAGGUGUUAGGUUAAGUCCUGCAACGAGCGCAACCCCUACACUUAGUUGCCAUCAGGUAAUGCUAGGCACUCUAAGUGGACUGCCUACGCAAGUAGCGAGGAAGGUGGGGAUGACGUCAAGUCCUCAUGGCCCUUACGCCCAGGGCCACACACGUGCUACAAUGGCCACUACAAAGGGUUGCCAAAGCGCAAGCUGGAGCUAAUCCCAAAAAAGUGGUCUCAGUUCAGAUUGUGGGCUGCAACUCGCCCACAUGAAGCUGGAAUUGCUAGUAAUCGUGGAUCAGCAUGCCACGGUGAAUACGUUCCCGGGUCUUGUACACACCGCCCGUCACACCAUGGGAGUGGGUUUCACCAGAAGUAGGUAGCCUAACCGCAAGGAGGGCGCUUACCUCGGUGGGAUUCAUGACUGGGGUGAAGUCGUAACAAGGUAACCAAGGGC